GACGAACGCUGGCGGCGUGCUUAACACAUGCAAGUCGAGCGGAAAGGCCCUUCGGGGUACUCGAGCGGCGAACGGGUGAGUAACACGUGAGUAACCUGCCCCAGACUUUGGGAUAACCCUCGGAAACGGGGGCUAAUACCGGAUACGACACAGCUUCGCAUGGGGUCUGUGUGGAAAGUUUUUCGGUUUGGGAUGGGCUCGCGGCCUAUCAGCUUGUUGGUGGGGUGAUGGCCUACCAAGGCGACGACGGGUAGCCGGCCUGAGAGGGCGACCGGCCACACUGGGACUGAGACACGGCCCAGACUCCUACGGGAGGCAGCAGUGGGGAAUAUUGCACAAUGGGCGGAAGCCUGAUGCAGCGACGCCGCGUGAGGGAUGACGGCCUUCGGGUUGUAAACCCCUUUCAGCAGGGACGAGGCGUAAGUGACGGUACCUGCAGAAGAAGCGCCGGCCAACUACGUG
RNAcentral lists this ribosomal RNA (462 nucleotides) under uncultured bacterium. RNAcentral describes it as "partial 16S ribosomal RNA". It matches the Rfam family "Bacterial small subunit ribosomal RNA", at positions 28 to 507 of the family's 1533-position model. The record is from RNAcentral.